AUUGGCAUCAAUUGAUAUUGAAAGCUCCGGCGGAUAGAGAUGGGCACGCGCAAGAUUUAGUUAGUUGGUGAGGUAACGGCUCACCAAGACGAUGAUCUUUAGGGGCCUGAGAGGGUGAUCCCCCACACUGGUACUGAGACACGGACCAGACUCCUACGGGAGGCAGCAGUGAGGAAUAUUGGUCAAUGGGUGCAAGCCUGAACCAGCCAUCCCGCGUGAAGGACGACUGCCCUAUGGGUUGUAAACUUCCUUUGUAUAGGGAUAAACCUACCCUCGUGAGGGUAGCUGAAGGUACUAUACGAAUAAGCACCGGCUAACUCCGUG
RNAcentral lists this ribosomal RNA (324 nucleotides) under uncultured bacterium. Its description in RNAcentral is "bacterial SSU rRNA". It matches the Rfam family "Bacterial small subunit ribosomal RNA", at positions 184 to 507 of the family's 1533-position model. The record is from RNAcentral.